RNAcentral lists this transfer RNA (75 nucleotides) under Elusimicrobiota bacterium. RNAcentral's name for it is "tRNA-Arg". It matches the Rfam family "tRNA". Rfam says of the family: Transfer RNA (tRNA) molecules are approximately 80 nucleotides in length. RNAcentral also lists the same sequence under 1 other name. Lineage: Bacteria; Pseudomonadati; Elusimicrobiota. The record is from RNAcentral.
GCGCCCGUAGCUCAAAGGAUAGAGUACCGCCCUGCGAAGGCGGUGAUAUAGGUUCGAUUCCUGUCGGGCGCACCA